This 258-nucleotide signal recognition particle RNA is filed under the name Microcaldota archaeon. RNAcentral's name for it is "signal recognition particle sRNA large type". It matches the Rfam family "Bacterial large signal recognition particle RNA". From Rfam's summary of the family: The signal recognition particle (SRP) is a universally conserved ribonucleoprotein involved in the co-translational targeting of proteins to membranes. Archaeal SRP consists of a 7S RNA and homologues of the eukaryotic SRP19 and SRP54 proteins. The record is from RNAcentral. Lineage: Archaea; Nanobdellati; Microcaldota.
CAGCAGAUGGUGGGAAGCUAGGGGUUUCCUUCACCGCAAAUCCCCUUCAGGCGGGCCUUAUGCUGGUAGCGUGCUACAGACAUGUAUGGGACCCUUGCUUAAGCGUUGAGGCUCUGCCUCCAGCGGUAGUUCCUUAUAUGAACCGGGCCAGGCCGGAAGGAGCAACCCUAAAUAUAUCGCUUCUACGCUCUGGAGAUACAGGGCUGAGCAGAUGCAUGGUAAUCACAUGCGUGCGUGUGGUGCAAACCAGCUCUGCUG